CCCCUUAUUUUGUAUCUGAUCACUCUCUCCCAAUAACUACACUGUGUGCAGGAGGAUGCUACUCCAAAAAGGAAAUUGAUGAAGUAAGGAUAGAGUGGGCAGAAUUUGUAUGUAAAAUCACAGAUGAGUGAUGAUGGAUGGUGUAACUUGCUUGUUUUCGGUGUUUGCAGUUAUGUUUCAAUUAGUAGGAUGAUGAUGUUUGGAUUCUAAUGUAAUGUAGGAUGAUGAUGUUUGGAUUCUAAUGUAAUGUAGGUAUGAUGAUGUUGGAUUCUAAUGUAAUGUAUGGAUGAUGAUGUUGGAUUAUAAUCUAUGAAUUUUAUUAUUAAUUUAUGUAUUUUUAGCUUUU
Salvia miltiorrhiza (redroot sage) is the source of this 346-nucleotide long non-coding RNA. RefSeq lists it as uncharacterized. The record is from RefSeq and is a predicted model, not a curated record. The transcript has 3 exons. Lineage: Eukaryota; Viridiplantae; Streptophyta; Magnoliopsida; Lamiales; Lamiaceae.